This 471-nucleotide long non-coding RNA is filed under the name Taeniopygia guttata (zebra finch). Its description in RNAcentral is "lncRNA (ENSTGUG00000018799.1)". The record is from RNAcentral. Lineage: Eukaryota; Metazoa; Chordata; Aves; Passeriformes; Estrildidae.
CACUGAUUUUAUUUUCAUUUUGUAAGGAGCGCCUCUCUCAGGCCUCUGUGCUGUAGCUGUUCUCUGGAGAACACCUGAUAGCGCCUUCAUUCCCUCCACUCUUGAGGGUUUUCAAUCAACACUAACCUUGGUAACUGGUGUCUGUGAGCUAAACACUCUGGGACAACAAUGCUGUGAGGAGAAAAAAGCCAUUAAUGGAGCUUUAAACUACCUGCAAAAAGUACCCAGGCAAGUGCUGUUUCCUUGCCACUGCUUUCACCCACUGUAAAACCCAAGGUGCCCCAUGUCAGGCUGAGCUCAGGAGAGCCUGUCGGAAUCUGUGGUAUUGAUGAUUCCGAGAUUGUAAAAAGUCUCUGUCUUUCUGCCCCAAAGAAGAAGCCAUAAUUCGUCUGUGCUGUUUUCAAGGUUGUUUAUUCUUGCUUAUCUCUAACAAGUUCUGCUGCCCUGCCACAGGUCUGUCCUGCAGGGCAG